Molecule: long non-coding RNA, 1506 nt
Filed under: Physcomitrium patens
Lineage: Eukaryota; Viridiplantae; Streptophyta; Bryopsida; Funariales; Funariaceae
Description: long non-coding RNA (PPAT_LNC004813)
Source: RNAcentral
UCCUCCCUUCGUUCGUCCCCCUUUGCCUCUCUCUCUCUCUCUCUCUCGCUCCCCCACUCUUCUUUAAGUUUCUAAGUAGCAUUUAAAUGAGAUUUAGGAAUAAACAUGUGGACAAUGUGAAGAAGAAUUGAGAAAUUGGAAGUAGAAGAAGAAGACGAAGAUGAUGGUAAUGCUCCGUCUGGAAACUGGUACUAUUUGAAUUUUGCAGCCAUUUCUUUUUGUUUUUGCUGUAUUGUACAGGCCAAGCUUGCACACAGAUGUCGUUUUCAGCGACUAUCUGUUUUGGCACUUGGAAUCCUAUUCAUGAAGUAAGUUUAAUUUAAUAUAUAUAGAGAGAGACACGUGUAUGUAGAUAUAAAUAUAGCAAGAGUAUCAAGAGUUUUUUUGGUUAAUGGAACCAGUAAGGAAUUAUUUCAUUUUAAAUUCAACAUUCCCUUUAGUUUCACAUUUAUUAUUAUUGUUAUUAUUAUUAGACCUACGAAUCAUGUUUUUAAUAAACUUUUCUUUCCACUUUUCAAAACGUGGUUUUCCUAGUGUGCGUUCAGGCAUCCAUGGAAUAUUAUCUUAAUCUACAGAUCUCCCUUAUUCAUCCAUGGUUUUAUUUUGUUUUAUUUUAUUUUUUUCAUUCAGGCUCUGACUGCACGACAGUGUUGUACCCACCCCAGAGAUUUGGGAAAAAAAGGACUACUCUCUCCAGGGAUUUGAUACCUUCUAUCACUAUUACCCCUUCCUAACUUGACAUAUGCACUGUGUUUUUGCUACCUACCUCUAUGACUACUACGACCUACCUUCCUCCUCCUACUCUUUCUUGCUCUCUCUCUCUCUGUCCUUCAUCAAUAGUACUCCUUCAUCCCUCUUUCUGAAAGACAAGGGGGGUCCAUGAAAGAUGCAGUAGGAAUACUUACAAGCAUGCUUACUGCAUUGUGUAUCUGCAGAAUGGCAGAAGUUGCCAUCUAUGGAGGGAAGCCCUCAGCAGCAGUUCCACAAAUGGAGAGAACAAUAGAGAGGGAGAUGAUGAGACUACGAGUCCAUUCACAGGAUAACAAGAGAUUCCAACAACAUAAACCAGGAUUCCAAGUUAACUACACACACACACACAUGUAUGUAUGUAUGUAUACACUUCUCACAUACUCUCACUUGCUCUGUUGGUGAGUUGGGUUGGGUAUACUGAGGUGGGCAUUCAAUUAGCGGAAACCUGUCCCCAUACCUACUAUUUGAGCCUGCCCCACCAGCAGCAGUCGAUCUCAUACCUCCCCCCCCAAUCCACAGGAAGUAAAAAUGUAAUAGUGGUGGUUAAUAGUAUCAGAAGCAGCAGCAGAAUAUCGGAGAACAAGGACAUAAGCACAUGAUCCAUCAUUCAUUCAUUCAUUCAUUCUUUCUUUCUCUCUGCCUGUCUGUCUGGGCAAGCAUUCCAAAUCCAAUCUAAUCCAAUCUAAUCCAAUCCUUGUUCAGUCCAAUCCUUUUGAUUCACAAAAUGAUACAAAGGAAAGAGGCAGUGACGGGAGG